UUAGUGUGCUCCUGACGGAUGUCUAGGGUUCGUGGCGUGGAAGGACGCAUAUGACGGCGAUACUGGCGCAGCAUCUAAUGUGUGCCGUUUCCGAAGUUGGCUACUCCCUCAACUUAAGCAUAUCAAUAGGGGACGGAGAAGAAACAAACAUGGAUUCCCCUAGUAGUGGCGAAUGAAGCGGGAGCUGUCCGGAUGGCAAGCCGCUAGGCGUUGUAGACAGAUGUAACGAAGUGGCAUGGAAGUGCACACGACACAGGGUGAGAGUCCCGUUGUACCUAUAGUAGGAGAGAGUAACGCUGCUUGGUACUGCAGCGCGAAGGGGUGGUUGGACCAUCCAAGACUAAAUAUACGCGAACACCGAUAGUGGACAAGUACUGCGAAGGAAAGACGACAGCUCAUGAGGGCUGAUGAUUGAAAUCAGGAGCACGGAAGGCAAUUGAUUGCACCCGUCUUGAAACACGGACCAAGGAGUGCAGUGGGCCAGCAAGUAUUCUGUACACACUACACGAUGCGCAGCGAAGGCUAUGCAGCUGGCGCACUGCGACCCGAUAGAUAGUGAACUAUGCCUGGUCUAGAUGAAGUCCGGGGAAACUCUGAUGGAAGUCUUAAGCCGUUCUGACGUUCAAUUCGAUGGCAUGAACUGGGUAUAGGGGCGAAAGACCAAUCGAACUAUCUGGUAGCUGGUUCCUUCCGAAAUGUCUCUCAGGACAGCGCCUUUGUAUAUGUAACCUUGUGUAGAGUAUGAACUAUUGUUCUGAAACUGCGAAGCAGGGAGUGGCGUUGCUUUGUUGAACGCCUGGAUAAUAGACUGGGUAGUGGGCUGAUGCUAGUAAGUAGCGUUGGCGAAGAGGGAUGAACCUGUUGGCGAGAUAAGAUCUCCAAGCAAAAGGCAGUGAAACCAGUAAAGAGGCAGAUGAAUCUAGACAGUGGGGCGGUGGCCAUAGAAGUUGGAAUCCGCUAAGAAACGUGUUACAACGUACCUACCGAAUUCAACUGUUCUGAAAAUGGACGAGGCUAUACUUUUGCAUCGAUUCUCGUCACGCAUUUUGCGUAGUAGGAAGGCAUGGAGGGUGUGCAGAAGCACGCGGGCGACUGUGUGUGGAACAGCCUCCAGAGCAGAUCUUGGUGGUAGUAGCGACAAUUUCAGAAUGAAACACCGAAGAGGAGAAGGGUUAUUUCUACGAAAUGUUAGCCGGGACGGUAAGGAAGGCUGCGGCUGCCCGAAACCCGAGCCUGUUAGUAUUCAGGCGCUUAUGAAUGGCGACAGACGCGCGGUGCACUGUGGGCUUCGGUUGUGCAGCAGCUGUCGUUUGCUGUGGUCUGUAUUUGUAGGGAGCGUUAUGCAGCGAGCUACAGUGUUGAGACACAAUAUACUGUUUGGUAUAGCACAAUGCACGGCACGCACCGUGAAGAUGCACCGUGCUUGACCCCGUACCUAGUCCGAAACAGGUCUCCAAGGCUAGCAGCCUCUGGUGUUAGAAGUAAAGUAAGUAAGGGAAUUCGGCAAAAUGGAUUUGUAACUUCGGGAGAAGGAUUGGCUCUAUUUAUAGAACUGUGUUUGGCAAGGGGAAUCUGACUGUUUAGUAAAAACAUAGCUUUAUGUAUGUGCAUAAAGUGAAUUCUGCCCAGUGCUCGAAAUGUCAAGCUGUCGAAGGGCAGUAACGCACGGGUUAACGGCGGACGUAACUAUGACGUUCUUAAGGUAGCCAAAUGCCUCGUCAUCUAAUUAGUGACGCGCAUGAAUGGAUCAACUAGAUUCCCACUGUCCCUACUUACUUCUAGUGAAACCACAGCCAAGGGAACGGGCUUGGAAAGAACAGCGGGGAAAGAAGACCCUAUUGAGCUUGACUCUAGUGUGCAAGCGGUAGAUCAUGGUGGCGGUGUAGACAGGUGGGUGCGUGAAAGACCACUGCGUUUUUGUGAUGUACCUAUUGUUGCAGAUGGGGAGUUUGGCUGGGGCGGCACAUCUACUAGAAAGCAACGUAGAUGUCCUAAGGUAGACACUGGGAGGACGGAAACCUCGCUUUGCGCACAAGGGCACAAGUCUGCUUAAUACUGUAAUAUUGCGAAAGCACGGCCUAGCGAUCCCCUAGGCUGCGGUCUGUGCACCUAGGGGUGACAGAAAAGUUACCAUAGGGAUAACUGGUUUGUUGCGUAUAAGCGUCCUUAGCGUCUACGCAGUUUGAUUCUUCGAUGUCGGCUCUUCCUAUCAUUGCGAAGCAGGAUUCGCAAAGUGUUGGAUUGUUCACCCAUAAGAAGGGAACGUGAGCUGGGUUUAGACCGUCGUGAGACAGGUUAGUUUUACCCUACUGUUCGGAGCCUGCAAGCAGUGCGUACAAGUACGAGAGGAACGUAUUCACGGGACCACUGGUUACGCGCUUAUCUGACAAGGUACGGUGCUUCGCUACGUCCUCGCAGUUAACGGCUGAAAGCCUCUAAGCCGGAAACUGCCCUUGCGCAGGCUCGAGCUCCGCUCAAAGACGAUGAGCGUAAGAAUAGUGAAGCUGUACGUGUGCGAGCUGUUGCGAGACACUGAGGCUGCUAAGUUCUUCCGGGG
This is a ribosomal RNA of 2557 nucleotides. It matches the Rfam family "Eukaryotic large subunit ribosomal RNA".